Molecule: long non-coding RNA, 226 nt
Filed under: Medicago truncatula (barrel medic)
Lineage: Eukaryota; Viridiplantae; Streptophyta; Magnoliopsida; Fabales; Fabaceae
Description: long non-coding RNA (MTRU_LNC004110)
Source: RNAcentral
UCUGUUCUAGCAUGUCAAUCUGGUAUAUAGGGAAAAACCUAUAUUACCAGCAACAUCUGAAUCUGAUUUUGGUUCUCAUUGCCUUUAAUUAAUGUUCAAGAUUAAGUGGCCCCGAAAGAAUAUCAAAAAUUUCAAGCCCAUGAGAGAGUAAAUAUGAAAGAUACAAGACCUAGCAGGAAUGGGCUAGCUCCUUCUGAUUGGAUGUUUGAAGAUGCAUUGAUUCUUG